CGGAAGAGGGGAGCAGACGCUCGCCUGAGGUUCGCCCAGUCCUGGAGCGCUGACUCAGAAAUUGGAAUGAGUUGUCUGUGGAUCCUGUAAGGAGCCUGGACGUGGUGAAGAGAAUGCCUUGACCAUCAGGAGACGGCUUAGCUUGUUGAAUCUUGAUCACUUCUUCUGACCGCUUUGGAUCUUAAAAGAACAAGGGAUGAUGGUGACUUCUGGUGACAACCAAGAACAGGCUUCAGAAAGAAAGCAGCUGUGUAGCUAUGGCCAAACUGAACUUCUUGAGUCAGUGUCCUCGCUUGUAAAAUGGACAAUUCUACUGAAGGAAAUUGAAGGUCUUACCGACUCCAUCCAAGGAAUUGACAAGAGAUCCGCAAGAAGGUUGCAUAGAGUGAGUGAGAACACUGUCUUGAACUGCUGGGACAUCUGCCUAAGAAUGAAACCCAAGAACAGAGGAAAGCAGACCUAGGAGAAGGAGGGAAAGACAACGUCCCAAUAAUAGCAUUCAAGCUUCUGGAUCCAACCAUGUCUGCUGCCGGACAUUAGUCCUGGUACUUCUUGUUACAUGAUCCAGUGAAUGGCUCCUCG
This 582-nucleotide long non-coding RNA is filed under the name Pan troglodytes (chimpanzee). RNAcentral's name for it is "long non-coding RNA NONPTRT006402". The record is from RNAcentral. Lineage: Eukaryota; Metazoa; Chordata; Mammalia; Primates; Hominidae.